CUUGUUAUUAAGAAUAAAUUUUAUCAUCAUUUCAUGAUAAGAUUAGUUUUUUUAUAGAAUUAAUCACAGAAAAAAUUUUAAAUUAUUUAAAAAUUUUUAAUUUUAUUCUAAACUUUAAUUUGAUGCAAUCAAAUCAUCAAAUUAAAAAACAAAUUUAAUUUAGACCUUGGCUAUGGAUUUCAUUUAGCUGCCAUUGCUAAAUGGUCACGAAAAAUCAUAUGAUAGAGAUAUGUGAUAGCACAGACUAAUGUGGGCAAAAUGUUUCUCCAUUUUUUCUUAUUUGUUUCAGUUGUGUAAUCCAAUUAUUUCUCUCAUUUCAAUGACUUAAUACCAUCGAAGCUUGUGAAAGUGGUGAUUUGCUGGUCAGCGAGAAGGCAGUACUUAGGUUCUUUAUUUCCAUGAUGAAGGUAAUUUCCUUACCUUCUGUGGAUAGGGUUUUAUCUUUCUUAAUCCAUCCGUUCUUUUCAUUAUUGAUUGUUAAUCGACUUUAGUUGCAAUUUGCAUGGGCUAUAC
Molecule: long non-coding RNA, 513 nt
Filed under: Elaeis guineensis (African oil palm)
Lineage: Eukaryota; Viridiplantae; Streptophyta; Magnoliopsida; Arecales; Arecaceae
Description: long non-coding RNA (EGUI_LNC002779)
Source: RNAcentral